RNAcentral lists this unclassified non-coding RNA (353 nucleotides) under soil metagenome. Its description in RNAcentral is "partial contains 5.8S ribosomal RNA, internal transcribed spacer 2, and large subunit ribosomal RNA". The stretch from base 1 to 120 matches the Rfam family "5.8S ribosomal RNA", at positions 35 to 154 of the family's 154-position model. The record is from RNAcentral.
GAUGAAGAACGUAGCGAAAUGCGAUAACUAGUGUGAAUUGCAGAAUUCCGUGAAUCAUCGAGUCUUUGAACGCACAUUGCGCCCCCUGGUAUUCCGGGGGGCAUGCCUGUCCGAGCGUCAUUGCUGCCCAUCAAGCACGGCUUGUGUGUUGGGUCGUCGUCCCCCCCUCCGGGGGGGGACGGGCCCUAAAGGCAGCGGCGGCACCGCGUCCGAUCCUCGAGCGUAUGGGGCUUUGUCACCCGCUCUGUAGGCCCGGCCGGCGCUUGCCGAACGCAAAACAACCAUUCUUUCCAGGUUGACCACGGAUCAGGUAGGGAUACCCGCUGAACUUAAGCAUAUCAAUAAGCGGAGGA